Molecule: ribosomal RNA, 465 nt
Filed under: uncultured bacterium
Lineage: Bacteria
Description: partial 16S ribosomal RNA
Rfam family: Bacterial small subunit ribosomal RNA
Source: RNAcentral
CCUACGUGAGACAGCAGUAGGGAAUCUUCCACAAUGGGCGCAAGCCUGAUGGAGCAACACCGCGUGAGUGAAGACGGGUUUCUGCUCGUAAAGCUCUGUUGUUGGAGGAGAACAUGCGUGCAAGUAACUGUUCACGCAUUGACGGUAUCCAACCAGAAAGUCACGGCUAACUACGUGCCAGCAGCCGCGGUGAUACGUAGGGGGCAAGCAUUAUCCGGAUUGAUUGGGAGUAAAGCGAGCGCAGGCGGUUGCUUAGGUCUGAUGUGAAAGCCGUCGGCUUAACCGAAGAAGUGCAUCGGAAACCGGGCGACUUGAGUGCAGAAGAGGACAGGGGAACUCCAUGUGUAGCGGUGGAAUGCGUAGAUAUAUGGAAGAACACCAGUGGCGAAGGCGGCUGUCUGGUCUGUAACUGACGCUGAGGCUCGAAAGCAUGGGUAGCGAACAGGAUUAGAUACCCUAGUAGUC